This 643-nucleotide ribosomal RNA is filed under the name uncultured Actinomycetes bacterium. RNAcentral describes it as "bacterial SSU rRNA". It matches the Rfam family "Bacterial small subunit ribosomal RNA", at positions 232 to 885 of the family's 1533-position model. The record is from RNAcentral. Lineage: Bacteria; Bacillati; Actinomycetota; Actinomycetes.
CGCGGCCUAUCAGCUUGUUGGUGGGGUAAUGGCCUACCAAGGCUUCGACGGGUAGCCGGCCUGAGAGGGUGACCGGCCACACUGGGACUGAGACACGGCCCAGACUCCUACGGGAGGCAGCAGUGGGGAAUAUUGGACAAUGGGCGGAAGCCUGAUCCAGCAACGCCGCGUGAGGGAUGACGGCCUUCGGGUUGUAAACCUCUUUCAGCACAGACGAAGCGCAAGUGACGGUAUGUGCAGAAGAAGGACCGGCCAACUAGGUGCCAGCAGCCGCGGUAAUACGUAGGGUCCGAGCGUUGUCCGGAAUUAUUGGGCGUAAAGGGCUCGUAGGCGGUUUGUCGCGUCGGGAGUGAAAACACCGGGCUUAACUCGGUGCUUGCUUUCGAUACGGGCAGACUAGAGGUAUUCAGGGGAGAACGGAAUUCCUGGUGUAGCGGUGAAAUGCGCAGAUAUCAGGAGGAACACCGGUGGCGAAGGCGGUUCUCUGGGAAUAUCCUGACGCUGAGGAGCGAAAGUGUGGGGAGCGAACAGGAUUAGAUACCCUGGUAGUCCACACCGUAAACGUUGGGCGCUAGGUGUGGGGUCCAUUCCACGGAUUCCGUGCCGCAGCUUACGCAUUAAGCGCCCCGCCUGGGGAGUACGG